This 969-nucleotide ribosomal RNA is filed under the name Triticum aestivum (bread wheat). RNAcentral describes it as "partial small subunit ribosomal RNA". Lineage: Eukaryota; Viridiplantae; Streptophyta; Magnoliopsida; Poales; Poaceae. The record is from RNAcentral.
AUGGUUACUACUCAAGCUGAGCAAGUACUUAAAGCUCAAAAUGAUUUGCUUGAUGAAUUAAAUAGUAAAAAUGACUUUGCUGUUAGAGUGGCUACUAGAACUGGUAGAAUGACUCAGGAACCUUUGUAUCCUGAAGGACACCCUAAGAGAAUCGAGCAAGAUUCUCAGAGAAAUAAUUUAGAGGCACCUAGUUCUUCCAAAAAGAAGAAAAAGAAAAACGAUAGGACUUUGCAUGCUUCUAGCAAACCUACUUUAGACACACCUGAGAAUCCCAAUGAUAUUUCUAUUUCUGAUGCUGAAACACAACCAGGUGAUGAACAUGAACCUAGUGAUAAUGUCAAUGAUAAUGUUCAUGUUGAUGCUCAACCUAGCAAAAACAAUGAUGUAGAGAUUGAACCUGUUGUUGAUCUUGAUAACCCACAAUCAAAGAAUCAACGUUAUAAUAAGAGAGAUUUUGCUGCUAGGAAGCACAGUAAAGAAAGAGAACCAUGGGUUCAGAAACCCAUACCCUUUCCUCCUAAACCAUCCAAGACAAGUGAUGAUGAGGAUUUUGAGCGCUUUGCUGAAAUGAUUAGACCUAUCUUCUUACGUAUGCGCUUAACUGAUAUGCUCAAAGAAAAUCCUUAUGCUAAGUAUAUGAAGGAUAUCAUUACAAACAAAAGAAAGAUACCGGAAGCUGAAAUUUCUACCAUGCUUGCUAAUUACACUUUUAAGGGUGGAAUACCAAAGAAACUUGGAGAUCCGGGGGUACCAACUAUACCAUGCUCCAUUAAAAGAAAUUAUGUUAGAACUGCUUUAUGUGAUCUUGGAGCCGGUGUUAGUGUUAUGCCUCUCUCUUUAUAUCGUAGACUUGAAUUGAAUAAGUUGACACCUACUGAAAUAUCUUUGCAAAUGGAUGAUAAAUCAACUGCCAUACCUGUGGUAUUUGUGAGGAUGUGCAUGUUGUGGUUGCAAAUGUCACUAUCUUAA